Molecule: ribosomal RNA, 328 nt
Filed under: uncultured eukaryote
Lineage: Eukaryota
Description: partial 18S ribosomal RNA
Rfam family: Eukaryotic small subunit ribosomal RNA
Source: RNAcentral
CCCUUAGAUGUCCUGGGCCGCACGCGCGCUACACUGAUGCAUGCAACGAGUUUAUAACCUUGGCCUGAAAGGUCUGGGUAAUCUUUUGAACGUGCAUCGUGAUAGGGAUAGAUUAUUGCAAUUGUUAAUCUUGAACGAGGAAUUCCUAGUAAACGCGAGUCAUCAGCUCGCAUUGAUUACGUCCCUGCCCUUUGUACACACCGCCCGUCGCACCUACCGAUUGAAUGGUUCGGUAAAGAUCUCGGACUUCGAUAUUUAUUCUUUAUUGAGUUUAUAUUGUGGGAAGUUAUCUAAACCUCAUCAUUUAGAGGAAGGUGAAGUCGUAACA